GGCGGGCGUUCAGCCUGCAGGCCACGGGGGUCGGUGGCAGCAGAGUCCUUGGACUUUGUGCCGGCCACCUCACUCUGGACUGGCCUCUCCACCCACUACCCGGUGGCCUUCAGAUGGUCCUUUUUUUGCAAAACCAGGCAGAGGGUUGUGUGGCGAGCCGCCCGGAAUCUUUCUGCUGGGUAGUGUGUGUCUGCACGUGCCCCAGGCUGGCACCCCUCCGUCACCUCCCGGUCACUGCAGGCUGCCUCUGAGGAGGGCAGUACCUGCCCACAAAGGCCCACGGAGCCAUGGCUUCUUCCCAGUGGUGAUCCCUGAUGGGCUGGAAGGUGACCGAACCGCUUGUCCUUUAUAAGCUGGGCUUGCUGCUUGCCGUUGAGGAAGAGCUUGUCAUGGGUGUCAGCGUUUAAAAGUGGAAUUAGAGACGGGGUUUCACCGUGUUGGCCAGGAUGGUCUCCAUCUCUUGACGUCGUGAUCCACCCGCCUCGGCCUCCCAAAGUGCUGGGAUUACAGGCGUGAGCCACCGCACCCGGCCGAUAUUACAAAAUCUCCUUCCUCUCCCCCUCCUCCUCCUCCCUCCCUCCCGCAUUAGUUUCCUGACACGAACCUGGCGGCUUAGGACAACACACACUUACUCUCUCACAGUUCCUGAGGCUGGAAGUCCAGAAGUCGGGGUGCUGGCAGGACGUGCUCUUCUGAAGCCUCCAGGGCAGGGCCAGCCGCAUGCCCGUCUCCUCGCUUGGGCACCUGCCAGCGGUCCCCGGCGGUCCCCGGCUCAUUGCUGCAUGGCUCCAACGUCCGCCUCUCCCACCAUGUGGCCUCCUCCUGGUGUCUCUGUGUCCAAAUCUCCCGCUCUGUCUAAGGAUAACAGUCACUGGUCAUGGGACCCAUCCUAAUCCAGGGUGACCUCGUAUUAACCUCAUCACAUCUGCAAAGACUAUUUCCAAGUCAAGCCACACUCCCAGCUGCUGGGGGCGGGACUUGAACAUAUUUUUUGUGGGGACACAAUUCCCCUCUCAGGUUUUAAGAUUUGUCUUUAUCAUUAAAGUUUUCAAAACUAA
RNAcentral lists this long non-coding RNA (1058 nucleotides) under Homo sapiens (human). RNAcentral describes it as "HSALNT0309849". Lineage: Eukaryota; Metazoa; Chordata; Mammalia; Primates; Hominidae. The record is from RNAcentral.